RNAcentral lists this ribosomal RNA (664 nucleotides) under uncultured archaeon. Its description in RNAcentral is "bacterial SSU rRNA". It matches the Rfam family "Archaeal small subunit ribosomal RNA", at positions 691 to 1353 of the family's 1478-position model. The record is from RNAcentral.
CCGACGGUGAGAGAUGAAAGCUGGGGGAGCAAACCGGAUUAGAUACCCGGGUAGUCCCAGCUGUAAACUAUGCAAACUCAGUGAUGCAUUGGCUUGUGGCCAAUGCAGUGCUGCAGGGAAGCCGUUAAGUUUGCCGCCUGGGAAGUACGUACGCAAGUAUGAAACUUAAAGGAAUUGGCGGGGGAGCACCACAAGGGGUGAAGCCUGCGGUUCAAUUGGAGUCAACGCCUGAAACCUUACCCGGAGAGACAGCAGAAUGAAGGUCAAGCUGAAGACUUUACCAGACAAGCUGAGAGGUGGUGCAUGGCCGUCGCCAGCUCGUGCCGUGAGAUGUCCUGUUAAGUCAGGUAACGAGCGAGAUCCCUGCCUCUAGUUGCCACUAUUACACCCUGGUGUAGUAGGGCGAAUUAGGGGGACCGCCGCAGUUAAUGCGGAGGAAGGAAGGGGCCACGGCAGGUCAGUAUGCCCCGAAACUCUGGGGCCACACGCGGGCUGCAAUGGUAGCGACAAUGAGUUCCAAAAUCGAAAGAUGGAGGUAAUCCCUAAACGCUACCACAGUUGUGAUUGAGGGCUGCAACUCGCCCUCAUGAACAUGGAAUCCCUAGUAACCGCGUGUCAUUAUCGCGCAGUGAAUACGUCCCUGCUCCUUGCACACACCGCCCGU